AUUCCUACCAACACAUUUAAAAUAUUAAUGUACUGUUUUUAUUGCUUCCCUUCUCUAACGGCAUUUCUAUAACUGGUUCCAUACCUAUAAAAUAUGUCCCGUGAAUCUGCAGCAUGGCAGGCGUGUCCUUCCUUUUUUGGAGUGGAGGGUAUAUGCACCUCUAAGUAGUUUCUUUCUGACAACUUAUAUGGAAAUUAGAUUGCAAUGUCCUGAUUUUAGAGUCUUUAAUUAUAACACAGCUUAAUAGAUACUAGAGAUUAGACUUCAGAAAUACAUGGAGAUUUACGUCUGAUUUGUUUUCCAUGUUGAAAUUUAGUUCUUGCUUUUAAAACAAAAUUCCCUGGGGCCCCACAUAGGAGCUGAAUGUGUUUGAAAGGGUGGACCAGAAGGUGCGCCAAGGAACCAGGUCUCCAAAUGCAACAUGCAUCAUAACACAAGUUUUUUUUCUAAAUGGGGGAGCCUCAAACAUCCUUUAAGGUUCAUCCUCCCUGGGUUAUUUCUGGGAAACCUUCUCCAACACAAAGUUUUAACACAACACAAACAAAGUGUUAACUUUGUAGUAGUAAGUCUUUAUCUUUUAUGCUUGGUGUUAAACUUCAUUUCAGGUGGAUUUUUGCACAUGGAUGGAGUAGGUAAGGGUCAAGCUUGUUUCUCCUUUAAACUGUUUUGGUGUCCUUGUCUUUGACCAUACGUGUAUGGGUCUUUUUCUCUUCUCUCUAUACCCUCCCACUGACCUAUCUGUCUCUCCUUUUACUAGUAUCAUACUGACUACUGCAACUUCGCAGGAAGUCUUCAAGUCAGGUAGGGUACGUACUCCAGCUUGCUCUUCCUAUGCCACAGCAACACCAGAUCCGAGCUGCACCUGUGACCUAAACUGCAGCUUGUGGCAAUGCAGGAUCCUUAACCCACUAAGCAAGGCCAGGAAUCGCACCUGCAUCCUUGCAGAGAGAGACGAUGUUGGGUCCUUAACCCACUGAGCCACAAUAGGAACUCCUUAAAGAUUAUUUUAAUAAUUUUAUUCUGUUGCCUCUCCAAAUAAAACGUAAGAUCAGUUUGUUUCAGCGAUCUGUUUGACAGGGCCACCACACGACACACUGGAGAGGGGGCCUGGAAGACGCUAGGUGAACAGGCCUCCACACCUGGCCCUUCAGACUCAUCUGGAAUGGUCAAUGUAGAAAGGUCCGGGGACAGGUAGGGCUCUUCUAAAAACCACUAUUUUAAUCAAACUCUGAUUCCACAGUGCUGAGAUAUCUUUUCAAAGAUUAAGAAAUAAAACCAUAAUAACAAGUUUAAGAGGAUGGCCCCAUUUUAUAGACUACUCUGCCUCCAGGACUUCCUGGAGGUAGAGUCUGCUCUCUUCAGGUUGGUGCUUCCAGAAUAUAACAGGGUUUCCAGCCUGUAGUAAGUGUUCACAUGACAUCCAGGGGAAUUUUCCUUUGUAUGAAACAGCCACACCCGUGUACUCACUGUCGGGGGGUGGGGGUGGGGUGUCACUCUCCUUCACUCCUAAUACCCCCUGCCACCUCUUUUAUAUUGCUUUUCCCGUUUUGCCUUACUUUGUAGCCAGUUUCCUUCCCUUCGAAACUAUAUGUCAGGUGGGGGUAGAGAUUACUUUUUAUAUUUCCAAAGUAGCUCCACAGACCUUGGUACAGAAAACAAUAACCCUGCAGUGAGGUUCAGGGUGGGGCUGGGUGGAGGUGUCAGGUCAUCCACCAAGCCAGCUCCGAGCAAUCUCACCAGCCCCUCACAGAGUCUGGGACAUAGAGCAGACACUUAGCAAAUACCAGUCAAUUGAGAGAGUAAGUACACAUUCUAUUGCAAAUACUCUUUUGAGGCAGGCACCGAGAAUCUUUGUUUCUUUGAGUCAAUGGAGGAAAUCAUCCAUGGUAGCACGCCUUUCAGAGGUGAAAUCAAAUAGGACUCAUAUUUCCUAUAAAACCUGAAAGAAAACCAUGCUCCCAUCCCAAGCUGGCAUUUAAGAAAAGAUAAGUGAGAAGCAUCAAGAUGGGACACAUUUAGGGGAGAGAGGCUCUCCUAAGUAGUAGGGGGGAGAGGGGCUGAGCACCAAGUGCCCUUGACAAAACUACACACACACUGCAACAAAACAACAAAACACAAAGGCAAUGCCACAUUUGUUAGCUAUUACAAAGGGUGAGAAGAGGCCAGGACCCAAAUGUCCUACCCUCUCAUUCUAACCACCACUGUUGGAUAACUGGCCUCUCUGCUCAGUCUUGACCCCUCAGAAAAGGCACCCAAAUGAGGUGACCAUGGCUGUUCUAAACCACAAUGAACACCUGCCAUUCUCCUGCUUAGAGCUCUUCUUAUACCAAAAGAGAAACUAGGCAAAACCCCAAAGUCCUUCAUUGCAUGAGUCCGGGCCCACUUUCUGCUCCUCACUGGUCACCACGUACAUCUGCAGUCCUCACUUCAGACACAGGAACCACCCUGCCAUGGCUUUGCCCAUUAUUCCCUGUGCCUAGAGCAUCCACACCUCCUUCUCUUCCCAGGAUUUAGAUCAAAGAUCACUUCCUCCCAAGUACUUUCACGGAUCCUCCCAGCUGAACUCCUCCAUGGCAAUCAUCUUCAAGCUGGUCUCAUUGUCAAAACUGCACGUGUGUUGUGGCUACAAAGUCGCCUUUGAUCUCUGUGGGCUGCAACUCAACACUUGACCUAGCACGCAGUCAGUGCAUUAAGACUGUUCAUUAAGAACAGUCGAAUACAUAAGUAAUUGAGCAAAUGAAUAAAUGGGCUUAGUAAACGUCAAAUAGAUUCCCUAGCAAUGCAGUUGUGUCCCUGGAUAUUUUUGCUGUGUGACAACUGAAAUCUCUCCCUACUUUUUUUUUAAGUCAUCAUUAUACAUACUAUGUACUAUGUAUUUUUAUGUACCAUAUAAUGUAAAAAAUAUAUACUAUGCUAGGCAACUUAUAUCCUGUACCCAUUUUAAGUAUACAUUCCAAAAGAAAAAUUUGUAUGCCUUUGGAACUCCCAUCACAAUCAGGAUAUAGAGCAUUUCUAUCACCUUACAUGGGUCCCUUGUGCCUCAUUUCAGUCAAUGCUUCUUUCGUUCCCAGCUGCCAGGCAAUCACUAAUUUGCUUUCUGUCACUACAUAAUUGUUUGGAAUUUUUUUUGUUCUUUUAUAUACAUAAAAUCAUACAGUAUGCAUUCUUUUGAGGUGGGCCUAUUUAGCUCAGCAAAAUAUUGAAAUUCAUCUGUCUAGUUUACUGUAUUAGUAUUUUUACUGUUGAGUAGUAUACCAUGUAAUGAAUAUAUCAUACUUCAUUUAUUCAUUAACACUCAUUGAUAGACAUAUGGAUUGUUUCUAGUUUGGAGGUCUCAUGAAUAAAAGUACUGUGAAGAUUAGUGUAGAAGUUUUCAUUUUAUUUGGGUAGAAUCCUAGAAACACCAUUGCUAGCCUGUAUGAGAGGUGUAUGUUUAACAAAGAAAACUGCCAAACUGUUUUCUAAGGUGGUUGUACCACUUUACGUUCCUUUCAGAGAUAUGUGAGAGUUAUAGCUGUUCCACAGAUUAACAGAUAUUUGGUCUUGUCCAGAAUGCCCGUAUUUAAUCCAAAAGAUCCUUGAAAUUUGGUCCCACCCAAAAUAUCCAUGAGCCUAUUUGGUCCAUGCCAAAUGAUUUUGUACAAUGAUCAUCACAAUCCAAUUUUAUUGGAUUUCCAUCCCACAUCCCCAGCACAUCCUCCCACUCCCCAAACUGUCUCCUUCGGAAACCAUAAGUUUUUUAAAGUCCAUGAGUCAGUAUCUGUUCUGCAAAGAUGUUCAUCAUGUCUUUUUUCAGAUUCCGCAUGUCAGUGAAAGCAUUUGAUGUUGGUGUCUCAUUAUAUGGCUGACUUCACUUAGCAUGAUACUUUCUAGGUCCAUCCAUGUUGCUAAAAGUGCUGGUAUUUCAUUCCUUUUAAUGGCUGAGUAAUAUUCCACACAUCUUCUUGAUCCACUCCUCUGCUGAUGGACAUUUAGGUUGUUUCCAUGUCUUGGCUAUUGUUACUAGUGCUGCAAUGAACAUUGGAGUACACGUGUCUUUUCAAGUCAUGGUUUUCUCUGGGUAGAUGCCCAGGAGUGGGAUUGCUGGAUCAAAUGUUCUAUUUUUAGUUUUCUGAGGACUCUCCAUACAGUUUUCCACAGUGGUUGCACCAAUUUACAAUCCCACCAACAGUGGAGUAGAGUUCCUUUUUCUCCACACCCUCUCCAGCACUUAUUGUUUUGUAGACUUUUUGAUGAUGGCCAUUCUGGCUGGUGUAAGUUGGUACCUCAUUUGGUUUUGAUUUGUAUUUCUCUAAUAAUGAGUGAUGUUGAACAUCUUUUCAUGUGUUUUUUGGCCAUCUGUAUGUCUUCUUUGGAGAAUUGUCUGUUUAUAUCUUCUGCCCAUUUUUUGAUGGGGUUGUUUGGUGUUUUUGGUAUUGAGCAGCAGAAAGUGUUUAUAAAUCUUGGAGAUUAAUCACUUGUCAGUUAAUUCAUUUGCAACUAUUUUCUCCCAUUCUGUGGUUGACUUUUCAUUUUGUUUAGGGUUUCCUUUGCUAUGCAGAAACUUUUAAGUUUAAUUAGGUCCCAUUAUUUAUUUUUGUUCCUACUGUCAUUACUCUAAGAGGUGGAUCUGAGAAGAUGUUGCUGCCUUUUAUGUCGGAGAGGGUUUGGCCUAUGUUUUCCUCUAAGAGUUUUAUAGUAUCUGGUCUUAUAUCUAAGUCUUUAAUCCAUUUGGAGUUUAUUUUUGUGUAUGGUGUUAGGCAAUAUUCUAAUUUCAUUCUUUUACGUUUAGCAUUAAUCAAGUUUUUUUUUUUUUUUUUUUUAAUUUUAGGCACCUAAAUGGGUCUUUAACUUUUUCCAGCAUCCCUUAUGUAUCUUUCUAAGCAUCUCUCUGUGUUUCCUUGCUGUGAGUUCUGCAACCUAGAGGAGCUGUAUACAUGCCUCAGGGAGAGGAUGUUUAGUUGGUUAAAAGGCUCUUUUAUUAUUGAGCAUGAUGCCAGGAUAAACAGGACCCAACUCAGAAGUAAUGAGAAGAAGGGGCAGAAUGAGAUGCAGGUAGACAAGUCCAUAGAUGCCAUGAUUAAGAAGAAAAAAAAAAAAAAAAAAAAAAAAAAGAUGUGCACUAGAAUUCAUUUUAAAGCUGAAAAAUCCAUGGUAAUUUGAGGAAGAGGAAACCCAUGCUUUCCUGGGACCCCACCUCCAUUCCCCAGACUGGUACAGGGCUGAGCAAGGAAGAUGUCCACCAUAAUUUCUUGCUGAUUUCCUUUUUAAGGGUGGGGAGUACCUUAUGUCAUUGAGACCAUUUUAUUUAUUUAUUUAUUU
Molecule: long non-coding RNA, 5301 nt
Filed under: Sus scrofa (pig)
Lineage: Eukaryota; Metazoa; Chordata; Mammalia; Artiodactyla; Suidae
Description: lncRNA (ENSSSCG00040016900.1)
Source: RNAcentral